This 391-nucleotide long non-coding RNA is filed under the name Cricetulus griseus (Chinese hamster). RNAcentral describes it as "lncRNA (ENSCGRG00015023741.2)". Lineage: Eukaryota; Metazoa; Chordata; Mammalia; Rodentia; Cricetidae. The record is from RNAcentral.
UAUCCUUUGGGUCCUGGAACUGCUGGUCUGACUUUCUCCCUACCCCCCACCCCAGUCCCUCUACCCUAAAGCCAAGACUCAAGUUCCCUGGAUGCAGAUGGGGCCAAGAGCUGAGGAUCUAGCUGAGUUCACAGAUGAGUAAACCAGACUGCCGAAGACCUGGUGAUUUGCUUGAGGGAGCAUGGCUGCCAAAGAAAUUCCAAGAGUCUCAUGAAGGGUCACAGAGAUGAACAUGCAUCUGGGGUUUUGAGGGGCUCAGAUUUAAGGCCCAAUUUGGCCCUUUCCCAGCCCUACAGUCACCUCUGCUGGAGUCCUGCCUUCUUCCCCAGGAUUAAACAUGAGGCUGAUCAUGAAGGCAGAAGACUGGAGAAUUUUCCAUAUGUUCCAUGCG